AUAAGUCCGUUGUUAAAGACUAGGGCUUAACCCUAGGAAAGCGAUGGAAACUGAUAGACUUGAGUAUGGCAGGGGUAGAGGGAAUUUCUAGUGUAGCGGUGAAAUGCGUAGAUAUUAGAAAGAACACCGGUGGCGAAAGCGCUCUACUGGACCAUUACUGACACUGAGAGGCGAAAGCUAGGGGAGCGAAAGGGAUUAGAUACCCCUGUAGUCCUAGCCGUAAACGAUGGAUACUAGAUGUUGUGCAAUUUGGACAGUAUCGUAGCUAACGCGUUAAGUAUCCCGCCUGGGGAGUACGCUCGCAAGGGUGAAACUCAAAGGAAUUGACGGGGGCCCGCACAAGCGGUGGAGCAUGUGGUUUAAUUCGAUGCAACGCGAAGAACCUUACCAGGGCUUGACAUACUACAGAUCUUUUUGAGAAAGAAGAGUGCCUUCGGGAAUGUAGAUACAGGUGGUGCAUGGCUGUCGUCAGCUCGUGUCGUGAGAUGUUGGGUUAAGUCCCGCAACGAGCGCAACCCUCGUUUUUAGUUGC
This 532-nucleotide ribosomal RNA is filed under the name uncultured marine haptophyte. Its description in RNAcentral is "bacterial SSU rRNA". It matches the Rfam family "Bacterial small subunit ribosomal RNA", at positions 583 to 1118 of the family's 1533-position model. Lineage: Eukaryota; Haptophyta. The record is from RNAcentral.